CAACCCUUAUCCUUGUUUGCCAGCGAGUAAUGUCGGGAACUCCAGGGAGACUGCCGGUGAUAAACCGGAGGAAGGUGGGGACGACGUCAAGUCAUCAUGGCCCUUACGAGUAGGGCUACACACGUGCUACAAUGGCGCAUACAGAGGGCGGCCAACUUGCGAAAGUGAGCGAAUCCCAAAAAGUGCGUCGUAGUCCGGAUUGGAGUCUGCAACUCGACUCCAUGAAGUCGGAAUCGCUAGUAAUCGUGGAUCAGAAUGCCACGGUGAAUACGUUCCCGGGCCUUGUACACACCGCCCGUCACACCAUGGGAGUGGGCUGCAAAAGAAGUGGGUAGUUUAACCUUCGGGAGGACGCUCACCACUUUGUGGUUCAUGACUGGGGUGAAGUCGUAACAAGGUAGCGCUAGGGGAACCUGGCGCUGGAUCACCUCCUUAUACGAUGAU
Molecule: ribosomal RNA, 444 nt
Filed under: Vibrio vulnificus
Lineage: Bacteria; Pseudomonadati; Pseudomonadota; Gammaproteobacteria; Vibrionales; Vibrionaceae
Description: bacterial SSU rRNA
Rfam family: Bacterial small subunit ribosomal RNA
Source: RNAcentral